This 393-nucleotide ribosomal RNA is filed under the name uncultured bacterium. RNAcentral describes it as "partial 16S ribosomal RNA". It matches the Rfam family "Bacterial small subunit ribosomal RNA", at positions 523 to 918 of the family's 1533-position model. The record is from RNAcentral.
AUACGGAAGGUCCGGGCGUUAUCCGGAUUUAUUGGGUUUAAAGGGAGCGCAGGCGGAGAUGCAAGCGUGACGUCAAAUUUCGGGGCUCAACCCCGUCUCGCGUCGCGAACUGCGUCCCUUGGUUGCGGGAAGGGGAGGCGGAACUCGUGGUGUAGCGGUGAAAUGCAUAGAUAUCACGAAGAACUCCGAUCGCGAAGGCAGCCUUCCGGCCCGUCAACGACGCUCAUGCUCGAAGGUGCGGGUAUCAAACAGAAUUAGAUACCCUGGUAGUCCGCACAGUAAACGAUGGACACCCGCGGUUUGGCCUAUAUGGCUGAGCCGCCAAGCGAAAGCGUUAAGUGUCCCACCUGGGGAGUACGCCGGCAACGGUGAAACUCAAAGGAAUUGACGGGG